GAUGAACGCUGGCGGCGUGCCUAAUACAUGCAAGUAGAACGCUGAAGCUUGGUGCUUGCACCGAGCGGAUGAGUUGCGAACGGGUGAGUAACGCGUAGGUAACCUGCCUCUUAGCGGGGGAUAACUAUUGGAAACGAUAGCUAAUACCGCAUAAAAGUCGAUAUCGCAUGAUAUUGAUUUGAAAGGUGCAAUUGCAUCACUAAGAGAUGGACCUGCGUUGUAUUAGCUAGUUGGUGAGGUAACGGCUCACCAAGGCGACGAUACAUAGCCGACCUGAGAGGGUGAUCGGCCACACUGGGACUGAGACACGGCCCAGACUCCUACGGGAGGCAGCAGUAGGGAAUCUUCGGCAAUGGGGGCAACCCUGACCGAGCAACGCCGCGUGAGUGAAGAAGGUUUUCGGAUCGUAAAGCUCUGUUGUAAGAGAAGAACGAGUGUGAGAGUGGAAAGUUCACACUGUGACGGUAACUUACCAGAAAGGGACGGCUAACUACGUGCCAGCAGCCGCGGUAAUACGUAGGUCCCGAGCGUUAUCCGGAUUUAUUGGGCGUAAAGCGAGCGCAGGCGGUUAGAUAGUCUGAAGUUAAAGGCUGUGGCUUAACCAUAGUACGCUUUGGAACUGUUUAACUUGAGUGCAGAAGGGGAGAGUGGAAUUCCAUGUGUAGCGGUGAAAUGCGUAGAUAUAUGGAGGAACACCGGUGGCGAAAGCGGCUCUCUGGUCUGUAACUGACGCUGAGGCUCGAAAGCGUGGGGAGCAAACAGG
Molecule: ribosomal RNA, 763 nt
Filed under: uncultured Streptococcus sp.
Lineage: Bacteria; Bacillati; Bacillota; Bacilli; Lactobacillales; Streptococcaceae
Description: bacterial SSU rRNA
Rfam family: Bacterial small subunit ribosomal RNA
Source: RNAcentral